This 460-nucleotide ribosomal RNA is filed under the name uncultured bacterium. RNAcentral describes it as "partial 16S ribosomal RNA". It matches the Rfam family "Bacterial small subunit ribosomal RNA", at positions 338 to 795 of the family's 1533-position model. The record is from RNAcentral.
CCUACGGGAGGCAGCAGUGAGGAAUAUUGGUCAAUGGACGAGAGUCUGAACCAGCCAAGCAGCGUGAAGGAUGACUGCCCUAUGGGUUGUAAACUUCUUUUAUAUGGGGAUAAAACGUUCUACGUGUGGGCUUUUGUAUGUACCAUAUGAAUAAGGAUCGGCUAACUCCGUGCCAGCAGCCGCGGUAAUACAGAGGAUCCGAGCGUUAUCCGGAUUUAUUGGGUUUAAAGGGAGCGUAGGUGGAUUGUUAAGUCAGUUGUGAAAGGUUGCGGCUCAACCGUAGAAUUGCAGUUGAUACUGGCUGUCUAGAGUACAGUUGCGGUGGGCGGAAUGUGUGGUGUAGCGGUGAAAUGCUUAGAUAUCACGCAGAACUCCGAUUGCGAAGGCAGUUCACUGAACUGCAACUGACGCUGAGGCUCGAAAGUGUGGGUAUCAAACAGGAUUAGAUACCCUGGUAGUC